GGGCGGGCAUCCUCAGUCGGUAGAGCACGAGACUCUGAAUCUCGGGGUUGUGGGUUCGAGUCCCGCAUCGGGCA
This is a non-coding RNA of Podarcis lilfordi (Lilford's wall lizard), 74 nucleotides long. Lineage: Eukaryota; Metazoa; Chordata; Lepidosauria; Squamata; Lacertidae. The record is from the annotation of a GenBank genome assembly.